This 697-nucleotide small RNA is filed under the name Malus domestica (apple). RNAcentral describes it as "sRNA MD09G0111800". The record is from RNAcentral. Lineage: Eukaryota; Viridiplantae; Streptophyta; Magnoliopsida; Rosales; Rosaceae.
CAGCACCCUUUCCCAUCCCCAUUCCCCGCCCACCUUGCCCUUCCCGUCACCUCUCUCUCCCUUUCUCUUUCUUUCUGUUUCUCUCUUCCCCUUAUUAUUUCUUCUUUCUUGCUACAGAAUAAGAACAAACGUGAUGCCGGCAAUCUCCGGCUGAAAGAACGAGAUUGACUACAGCCGAUCUGAAUUGGAAUCACCGUCGACAAUCUCUGGGUUCCAUGCGGAAGUAAGAAUCUCUGGGUUCCAUGUGUAAGUAAGAGUGAGAGAGAAAGAGAGGAAAGGAAAGAAAGAGAGUCGAAUAGAGAAAAGGGAUAAUGACGCCUGAAAAAUCCCCGGCCGAUGAGACAGGUGGGUGUGGGUGGUUCGGCGUCGUCAGGCUCGUGGUCCUCUGAUAUCUUAGUAAUUGUGAAACAAUUGGAAUUUUUUUAAUUUAAAAGAAUAAAUUAUAGAGGUGUCAAAUGUUUAUUUGUGGAACUCCAGGUCAGCAUAUGUGCCUGGUACAUGACAAUCCAAGUCCAAUUUCUCAUGGCAAAUGGGCUGCAUCUGCUCAUUGUUUUCUUGAAACUUGCGUGAAUAUGUUGUAAAAAUACAAUUGGUGAAACAGUUGGCAUUCAAUGUAAAAAUCUUCAUUAAUUAGUAUAAAAUUUAACGAUAUUAAUUUGUAUUUUAGAGAAUUUUAAUAAAUAUUUUUAAGUGACAA